Molecule: ribosomal RNA, 301 nt
Filed under: uncultured bacterium
Lineage: Bacteria
Description: partial 16S ribosomal RNA
Rfam family: Bacterial small subunit ribosomal RNA
Source: RNAcentral
CAGCAGCCGCGGUAAUACGUAGGUGGCAAGCGUUGUCCGGAAUUAUUGGGCGUAAAGCGCGCGCAGGUGGUUUAAUAAGUCUGAUGUGAAAGCCCACGGCUCAACCGUGGAGGGUCAUUGGAAACUGUUAAACUUGAGUGCAGGAGAGAAAAGUGGAAUUCCUAGGGUAGCGGUGAAAUGCGUAGAGAUUAGGAGGAACACCAGUGGCGAAGGCGGCUUUUUGGCCUGUAACUGACACUGAGGCGCGAAAGCGUGGGGAGCAAACAGGAUUAGAGACCCGCGUAGUCCCUGUCUCUUAUAC